GUCGAACGAACUCUGGUAUUGAUUGGUGCUUGCAUCAUGAUUUACAUUUGAGUGAGUGGCGAACUGGUGAGUAACACGUGGGAAACCUGCCCAGAAGCGGGGGAUAACACCUGGAAACAGAUGCUAAUACCGCAUAACAACUUGGACCGCAUGGUCCGAGCUUGAAAGAUGGCUUCGGCUAUCACUUUUGGAUGGUCCCGCGGCGUAUUAGCUAGAUGGUGGGGUAACGGCUCACCAUGGCAAUGAUACGUAGCCGACCUGAGAGGGUAAUCGGCCACAUUGGGACUGAGACACGGCCCAAACUCCUACGGGAGGCAGCAGUAGGGAAUCUUCCACAAUGGACGAAAGUCUGAUGGAGCAACGCCGCGUGAGUGAAGAAGGGUUUCGGCUCGUAAAACUCUGUUGUUAAAGAAGAACAUAUCUGAGAGUAACUGUUCAGGUAUUGACGGUAUUUAACCAGAAAGCCACGGCUAACUACGUGCCAGCAGCCGCGGUAAUACGUAGGUGGCAAGCGUUGUCCGGAUUUAUUGGGCGUAAAGCGAGCGCAGGCGGUUUUUUAAGUCUGAUGUGAAAGCCUUCGGCUCAACCGAAGAAGUGCAUCGGAAACUGGGAAACUUGAGUGCAGAAGAGGACAGUGGAACUCCAUGUGUAGCGGUGAAAUGCGUAGAUAUAUGGAAGAACACCAGUGGCGAAGGCGGCUGUCUGGUCUGUAACUGACGCUGAGGCUCGAAAGUAUGGGUAGCAAACAGGAUUAGAUACCCUGGUAGUCCAUACCGUAAACGAUGAAUGCUAAGUGUUGGAGGGUUUCCGCCUUUCAGUGCUGCAGCUAACGCAUUAAGCAUUCCGCCUGGGGAGUACGGCCGCAAGGCUGAAACUCAAAGGAAUUGACGGGGGCCCGCACAAGCGGUGGAGCAUGUGGUUUAAUUCGAAGCUACGCGAAGAACCUUACCAGGUCUUGACAUACUAUGCAAAUCUAAGAGAUUAGACGUUCCCUUCGGGGACAUGGAUACAGGUGGUGCAUGGUUGUCGUCAGCUCGUGUCGUGAGAUGUUGGGUUAAGUCCCGCAACGAGCGCAACCCUUAUUAUCAGUUGCCAGCAUUAAGUUGGGCACUCUGGUGAGACUGCCGGUGACAAACCGGAGGAAGGUGGGGAUGACGUCAAAUCAUCAUGCCCCUUAUGACCUGGGCUACACACGUGCUACAAUGGAUGGUACAACGAGUUGCGAACUCGCGAGAGUAAGCUAAUCUCUUAAAGCCAUUCUCAGUUCGGAUUGUAGGCUGCAACUCGCCUACAUGAAGUCGGAAUCGCUAGUAAUCGCGGAUCAGCAUGCCGCGGUGAAUACGUUCCCGGGCCUUGUACACACCGCCCGUCACACCAUGAGAGUUUGUAACACCCAAAGUCGGUGG
RNAcentral lists this ribosomal RNA (1406 nucleotides) under Lactiplantibacillus plantarum. RNAcentral describes it as "bacterial SSU rRNA". It matches the Rfam family "Bacterial small subunit ribosomal RNA", at positions 61 to 1433 of the family's 1533-position model. The record is from RNAcentral. Lineage: Bacteria; Bacillati; Bacillota; Bacilli; Lactobacillales; Lactobacillaceae.